GACGAACGCUGGCGGCGUGCUUAACACAUGCAAGUCGAACGAUGAACCCGGAGCUUGCUCUGGGGGAUUAGUGGCGAACGGGUGAGUAACACGUGAGUAACCUGCCCUGGACUCUGGGAUAAGCGUUGGAGACGACGUCUAAUACCGGAUAGGACCUUGGAUCGCAUGAUCUGGGGUGGAAAGUUUUUUCGGUCUGGGAUGGACUCGCGGCCUAUCAGCUUGUUGGUGAGGUAAUGGCUCACCAAGGCGUCGACGGGUAGCCGGCCUGAGAGGGUGACCGGCCACACUGGGACUGAGACACGGCCCAGACUCCUACGGGAGGCAGCAGUGGGGAAGAUUGCACAAUGGGCGAAAGCCUGAUGCAGCAACGCCGCGUGCGGGAUGACGGCCUUCGGGUUGUAAACCGCUUUUAGUAGGGAAGAAGGGCUUCGGCUUGACGGUACCUGCAGAAAAAGGACCGGCUAACUACGU
This 471-nucleotide ribosomal RNA is filed under the name uncultured bacterium. RNAcentral's name for it is "partial 16S ribosomal RNA". It matches the Rfam family "Bacterial small subunit ribosomal RNA", at positions 28 to 506 of the family's 1533-position model. The record is from RNAcentral.